RNA transcript from Asparagus officinalis (garden asparagus), 1719 nucleotides. RefSeq lists it as uncharacterized. The transcript is spliced from 10 exons. The record is from RefSeq and is a predicted model, not a curated record. NCBI's taxonomy places the organism in Eukaryota, Viridiplantae, Streptophyta, Magnoliopsida, Asparagales, Asparagaceae.
CCACGAGACAGCGAUCUUUCCCUCUCUGAGAUAAAUCCAGGCCCUAAUCUCUCUCCCAUUCCGAUGCCAACCCUAGACUCCAUCUCCUCUUCUCCAAACCUUCUCAUCGCCAUUUGCCUCUCAAACUCCAAUUCCCUCAUGAUCUCCUCCUCCAUCAUUCUAUUGUCAGCGAUUUGUCUCGCAAGGAUCUCCUCUCUCAUCCGCUCCCGCCGGAGCUCCUCUAUCAGGGCUUCCGCUCUUGACGUCAUCACCAGCGGGGCGAAGCCGGAGCUCCAGAUGUCGAUUCCAGCUGAGAUCAGGAACCAAAUCAAAGUUUGAAGGAAAAAAGAAAUCUAAAAUUAGGGUUUUUGUUAGGUACCUCGAAGAGCCUGAUCAGUGAAGUACCAGUAGUGGAGGAGUAGCACAAGGUCAUGGGCAUCAUGAACUCGGCUUGCUAAAUACUACGUCCCUCUCGAAGAAUCAGAGAAGCACAAGGUCAGAAUACGAGGUUCAUAGGUUGGUGGUCAACAGGGAUCAUAAGUUCACCAAUUUUGCUGAGGAAUACUCACAGUGAGAAUAACUUGCGGUUAUUGACGGCAUCUGUCUCUUUCUCUGAUACUCAACCAAAAACAAUAAAGGCUUCACAACCACCACUUUAUGAAGUUGUAUUGCAUAUUAACAUUAAUGUUUAAUAGGAGAGCGGAGGUCGUUUCGAGGCUGAAAUCAAAAGAGGAGUGUGCAGCUCCUUUGAUUUCAUUCCUUCAGAAUUCAUCUUAUGUUCAGGAGCACAAGGCUGAUAAGCAAUACAACAUCCAGAUGCUCAAUGAUUGGUUUAAGAGCAGAUAGAAGCUUUAUAUCAGUAUGCAAAGUUCCAAUUUGAGUGUGGGAGCUACUCUGCUGCAUCUGAAUUUUUGUAUUAAUAUCGUGCGUUGUGCACUAACAGUGAAAGGAGCCUUAGUGUACUUUGGGGAAAACUUGCAGCUGAGAUUUUAAUGCAGAACUGGGAUGAAGCUCUUGAGGAACUGAAUCGUUUGAAGAGAUAAUGACUCAAAAGGAAAUUAAGGUUAACUUGAUAAUUGAAGACUAUUAUAUGCCUUGGAUCAGAUUGCGUGGUCGAGUUUCAGGUCAGGCCAUAUUUAUUCUUGGAGGGCAUCUUAUGUUUAUGCUCAUGGCUAAUUGGACCGGAGAUGCCAUCUCGGAAGUUAUUAGCUACAACUAAUGAUUUGACUGAUGCAGAGAACUUACUCAGUCUAGCUUCAAGGUGUGUAGAAUCAUCCGAAUAAGGAAUACUUCUUGUCACAAGAUAGAAAGUGUUGAUGUACCUCAACAACUUGGGUUAGUGUAUUCGACUUAUCCGUAUGUUGUUGUUUUUUUCGUAUGUGCUAACACAUAUAAACUAUAUAUUGCGGGCCAACAGUGUCAUAUUGAUAUUGUAAACAUUUAAAUUUGUAGUAGCCUGUAUUGCGGGGUGUUCUUGAUGGCAUACAUGUUCAGUCUCGUUUCCGGUCAACCAAUUUCAAUUGACCAAAAGGAUUGUGAUAUCAACGUGAUCCUCAAGACCAAUUCCCCGGAUGCUAGAUGUCAAAUGUGAUAUCCAAUAUUUUUUUAUAUAAAUAUAUAUUUGGAAAUUAAUUUAUAAAGUAUUGUCUCAGUAUGAAACCUGUAGGACUGCUGUUGGAAUUGGUUAUGUAAAGUUCGGCCACAAUUUUGGGACAUGUAUAUAGUUUGUCAAUUCUAGGA